RNAcentral lists this small RNA (544 nucleotides) under Pan troglodytes (chimpanzee). RNAcentral's name for it is "retained intron". Lineage: Eukaryota; Metazoa; Chordata; Mammalia; Primates; Hominidae. The record is from RNAcentral.
AAAGUGCUUUCUGACAGCUCUCUAACUAUUCACUGGUGCCAAUUUCUUGAACUUUAAAGUCAUAAUUUUCCUUUCUUUUUGUAGGAGAACAAACAAGAUGUAAGAAUCCUGAGGGGUUCGCAGAGAGCACGGAGGAAAAGACGAGGGGAUUCGGCUGUAUUAAAGCAGGGUUUGCCUCCUAAAGGAAAGAAAGCGUGGUGCUGGGCAUCCUACCUGGAAGAGGAGAAAGCGGUGGCAGUGCCGGCGAAGCUGUUCAAGGAGCAUCAAUCCUUUCCAUAUAACAAAAAUGGAUUCAAAGUUGGCAUGAAAUUAGAAGGCGUGGAUCCCGAGCAUCAGUCUGUGUACUGUGUCCUCACCGUCGCGGAGGUUUGUGGAUACCGGAUAAAGCUUCACUUUGAUGGGUAUUCUGAUUGCUAUGACUUCUGGGUGAAUGCAGACGCUCUGGAUAUCCACCCAGUUGGGUGGUGUGAGAAAACCGGCCACAAACUCCAUCCUCCAAAAGGGUAUAAAGAAGAAGAAUUCAAUUGGCAGACCUAUCUUAAGA